CGGAUUUGGGCAGGGGCGGGGGCCACCGGUUGGGCCCUGGGCUCUGAGGUCAGUGUGGCAUUUAACUGUGGGGGAGGGGGAAGCGGUUACAGGAGUUGCCCUUGUAUUUCCUCUCUGGGACCUCCUGGUUUGGGGGCUACUUCCUGUGUGGGAACUGGACCUCCUGCAAGGCUCAGUGUGUGUAUGGGGGGGGGCACAGCAAAGCUUCUGUUGGCUCUUCUGCAGCCCCCAGCGGCAUCAGCUGGGCAAGGGGCCGCAGUGGGGACACCGGCCAACAGGCCUCCGGGGCUGGGGCUGGUCGCAUCCCCGGCACCACACUGCCCCCUGCUGGUCCAUCUCACGGUAUUUUCCACUCCACAGUCCCCAAGCCUGCCAUUCGCAGAGCCCUGCCGGGUCACUGUCAGGACUGAACAAAGCAUCCUGGUUGGGAAUGGGCUCCAGAGAGGCAGCAGGUGAGCAUGUGCACAGCUGCGCCCAAGCACACAGCCCCUCCUUGGAGGAAGAGUCCGUGCCCUUGUCAAAGCCUCCUUGCAAGGUGGCCCCAGCCCUGCAGGGCCCUCCUGGUGCUCCUGGCCCAGGGGUAAAAGGGAGCCAGGGGCUCAGGGCUCCAAGUGCCCCCAUCAAGGAUCCCGCCUCUGACUCGGCUUCCAGCAGCUGCUCAUGCCCAGACUCCCAAGGGACAUUGGUCACACCACAUUUUCACCGUCACCCAGAAGUGCUCCUGCCCCCUCCCCUCUCCCCAAAGCAAAAGAGGCCCUAAGCACCCUGGGAGGAGGGGGCUUGAGUGGGAAUAAGGAAGCCUUGGCCAGGAGCUUUGUGUGUGGAUAACAGCUGGUGUCCCCAAGGCCCCAUGUGUCAGGGCUUGGUCCCCAGAGUCUGCUGCUCGUGGCCUAAAGGAUGGAACUUACUCCAAUCACGGUGUCUGACAGCAGGGCCGGGGCAGCCAUUAGCUUGGAUCGGGCCCCGUGACUGAACCGUGGCUGCUCCGUACAGGGAGGAUGUGCAAACUCCCUGCCUGCCUCUGCUUCCUGGCUCACCGAGUGACCCCCCCCCCCACCCCCCGUGCAUGUGGGCUGCCGUCCAC
This 1084-nucleotide long non-coding RNA is filed under the name Oryctolagus cuniculus (rabbit). RNAcentral's name for it is "lncRNA (ENSOCUG00000038767.1)". The record is from RNAcentral. Lineage: Eukaryota; Metazoa; Chordata; Mammalia; Lagomorpha; Leporidae.